CCUACGGGAGGCAGCAGUGAGGAAUAUUGGUCAAUGGGCGGAAGCCUGAACCAGCCAAGUAGCGUGCAGGAUGACGGCCCUACGGGUUGUAAACUGCUUUUAUACGGGAAUAACGCGCCUUACGUGUAGGGCUUUGCAUGUACCGUAUGACUAAGAACCGGCUAAUUCCGUGCCAGCAGCCGCGGUAAUACGGUGGGUCCGGGCGUUAUCCGGAUUUAUUGGGUUUAAAGGGAGCGUAGGCCGCAUGUCAAGCGUGCUGUGAAAUGUCGGGGCUCAACCCGUGCCUUGCAGCGCGAACUGGCGGGCUUGAGUCCGCGUAAGGCAGGCGGAAUUCGUCGUGUAGCGGUGAAAUGCUUAGAUAUGACGAAGAACCCCGAUUGCGAAGGCAGCUUGCUGCAGCGUAACUGACGCUGAUGCUCGAAAGCGCGGGUAUCGAACAGGAUUAGAUACCCGAGUAGUC
Molecule: ribosomal RNA, 460 nt
Filed under: uncultured bacterium
Lineage: Bacteria
Description: partial 16S ribosomal RNA
Rfam family: Bacterial small subunit ribosomal RNA
Source: RNAcentral